GGCAAGUGUGUAUUGGCCAGAUCACCCCUCAUUAUAUCUGAAGCAAGUACAAGUAAACAAUCAGUACCAGCAAAAAGAAAACUGUUGUUACUUGAGGACAAAUUUGACAGUGAUGAGUCAAAUACACCAGCA
This is a non-coding RNA of Bombyx mori (domestic silkworm), 132 nucleotides long. Lineage: Eukaryota; Metazoa; Arthropoda; Insecta; Lepidoptera; Bombycidae. The record is from RefSeq and is marked provisional.